CCUACGGGAGGCAGCAGUGAGGAAUAUUGGUCAAUGGACGAGAGUCUGAACCAGCCAAGUAGCGUGAAGGAUGACUGCCCUAUGGGUUGUAAACUUCUUUUAUAUGGGAAUAAAAUGUUCCACGUGUGGGAUUUUGUAUGUCCCAUAUGAAUAAGGCACGGCUAACUCCGGGCCAGCAGCCGCGGUAAUACGGAGGGUCGGGGCGUUAUCCGGGUUUAUUGGGUUUAAAGGGGGCGUAGGUGGAUUGGUAAGGUCGUCGUGAAAGUUUGCGGCUCAACCGUAAAAUUGCAGUUGAAACUGGCAGUCUUGAGUGCAGGAGAGGUAGGCGGAAUUCGUGGUGUAGCGGUGAAAUGCUUAGAUAUCACGAAGAACUCCGAUUGCGAAGGCAGCUCACUGGACUGCAACUGACACUGAGGCUCGAAAGUGUGGGUAUCAAACAGGAUUAGAUACCCCGGUAGUC
This 460-nucleotide ribosomal RNA is filed under the name uncultured bacterium. RNAcentral's name for it is "partial 16S ribosomal RNA". It matches the Rfam family "Bacterial small subunit ribosomal RNA", at positions 338 to 795 of the family's 1533-position model. The record is from RNAcentral.